AUUGAACGCUGGCGGCAUGCCUUACACAUGCAAGUCGAACGGCAGCACGGGUUCUUGCACCUGGUGGCGAGUGGCGAACGGGUGAGUAAUACAUCGGAACAUGUCCUGUAGUGGGGGAUAGCCCGGCGAAAGCCGGAUUAAUACCGCAUACGAUCUACGGAUGAAAGCGGGGGACCUUCGGGCCUCGCGCUAUGGGGUUGGCCGAUGGCUGAUUAGCUAGUUGGUGGGGUAAAGGCCUACCAAGGCGACGAUCAGUAGCUGGUCUGAGAGGACGACCAGCCACACUGGGACUGAGACACGGCCCAGACUCCUACGGGAGGCAGCAGUGGGGAAUUUUGGACAAUGGGCGAAAGCCUGAUCCAGCAAUGCCGCGUGUGUGAAGAAGGCCUUCGGGUUGUAAAGCACUUUUGUCCGGAAAGAAAUCCUUGGCUCUAAUACAGUCGGGGGAUGACGGUACCGGAAGAAUAAGCACCGGCUAACUACGUG
Molecule: ribosomal RNA, 486 nt
Filed under: uncultured bacterium
Lineage: Bacteria
Description: partial 16S ribosomal RNA
Rfam family: Bacterial small subunit ribosomal RNA
Source: RNAcentral